GAUGAACGCUAGCGGCAGGCUUAAUACAUGCAAGUCGAGGGGCAGCACGGUUAGCAAUAACUGGUGGCGACCGGCGCACGGGUGCGUAACACGUAUACAAUCUACCUUAAACAGGGGGAUAGCCUUUCGAAAGAGAGAUUAAUACCCCGUAAUAAAUUGAACGGCAUCGUUUGAUUUUGAAAGCUCCGGCGGUUUGAGAUGAGUAUGCGUCUGAUUAGCUAGUUGGUGAGGUAACGGCUCACCAAGGCGACGAUCAGUAGGGGAUCUGAGAGGACUAACCCCCACACUGGUACUGAGACACGGACCAGACUCCUACGGGAGGCAGCAGUAAGGAAUAUUGGUCAAUGGAGGCAACUCUGAACCAGCCAUGCCGCGUGCAGGAUGACGGCCCUAUGGGUUGUAAACUGCUUUUAUACAAGAGAAAACCCUGGUACGUGUACCAGGUUGAUAGUAUUGUAAGAAUAAGCAUCGGCUAACUUCGUGCC
Molecule: ribosomal RNA, 485 nt
Filed under: uncultured bacterium
Lineage: Bacteria
Description: bacterial SSU rRNA
Rfam family: Bacterial small subunit ribosomal RNA
Source: RNAcentral